CCUACGGGAGGCAGCAGUGGGGAAUAUUGGGCCAUGGAGGAAACUCUGACCCAGCAAUGCCGCGUGAAUGAAGAAGGUCUUCGGAUUGUAAAGUUCUUUAGUCAGGGAAGAAGUCAAUGACGGUACCUGAAGAAUAAGCUCCGGCUAACUACGUGCCAGCAGCCGCGGUAAUACGUAGGGAGCAAGCGUUGGUCGGAAUGACUGGGCGUAAGGGGUGCGUAGGCGGUUGUACAAGUUGGACGUGAAUUACCCGGUGCUUAACUCGGUGCUGCUUCUAAAACUGUAUGACGUGGGUGCAGUAGAGGUUAGUGGAAUUCCUAGGGUAGCGGUGGAAUGCGUAGAUAUUAGGAGGAACACCAGAGGCGAAGGCGGCUAACUGGACUGCAACUGACGCUGAGGCACGAAAGUGUGGGGAGCAAACAGGAUUAGAUACCCCUGUAGUC
Molecule: ribosomal RNA, 443 nt
Filed under: uncultured bacterium
Lineage: Bacteria
Description: partial 16S ribosomal RNA
Rfam family: Bacterial small subunit ribosomal RNA
Source: RNAcentral